This 1600-nucleotide ribosomal RNA is filed under the name Escherichia coli. RNAcentral's name for it is "partial 23S ribosomal RNA". It matches the Rfam family "Bacterial large subunit ribosomal RNA", at positions 245 to 1869 of the family's 2925-position model. Lineage: Bacteria; Pseudomonadati; Pseudomonadota; Gammaproteobacteria; Enterobacterales; Enterobacteriaceae. The record is from RNAcentral.
AGCGGCGAGCGAACGGGGAGCAGCCCAGAGCCUGAAUCAGUGUGUGUGUUAGUGGAAGCGUCUGGAAAGGCGCGUGAUACAGGGUGACAGCCCCGUACACAAAAAUGCACAUGCUGUGAGCUCGAUGAGUAGGGCGGGACACGUGGUAUCCUGUCUGAAUAUGGGGGGACCAUCCUCCAAGGCUAAAUACUCCUGACUGACCGAUAGUGAACCAGUACCGUGAGGGAAAGGCGAAAAGAACCCCGGCGAGGGGAGUGAAAAAGAACCUGAAACCGUGUACGUACAAGCAGUGGGAGCACGCUUAGGCGUGUGACUGCGUACCUUUUGUAUAAUGGGUCAGCGACUUAUAUUCUGUAGCAAGGUUAACCGAAUAGGGGAGCCGAAGGGAAACCGAGUCUUAACUGGGCGUUAAGUUGCAGGGUAUAGACCCGAAACCCGGUGAUCUAGCCAUGGGCAGGUUGAAGGUUGGGUAACACUAACUGGAGGACCGAACCGACUAAUGUUGAAAAAUUAGCGGAUGACUUGUGGCUGGGGGUGAAAGGCCAAUCAAACCGGGAGAUAGCUGGUUCUCCCCGAAAGCUAUUUAGGUAGCGCCUCGUGAAUUCAUCUCCGGGGGUAGAGCACUGUUUCGGCAAGGGGGUCAUCCCGACUUACCAACCCGAUGCAAACUGCGAAUACCGGAGAAUGUUAUCACGGGAGACACACGGCGGGUGCUAACGUCCGUCGUGAAGAGGGAAACAACCCAGACCGCCAGCUAAGGUCCCAAAGUCAUGGUUAAGUGGGAAACGAUGUGGGAAGGCCCAGACAGCCAGGAUGUUGGCUUAGAAGCAGCCAUCAUUUAAAGAAAGCGUAAUAGCUCACUGGUCGAGUCGGCCUGCGCGGAAGAUGUAACGGGGCUAAACCAUGCACCGAAGCUGCGGCAGCGACGCUUAUGCGUUGUUGGGUAGGGGAGCGUUCUGUAAGCCUGUGAAGGUGUACUGUGAGGUAUGCUGGAGGUAUCAGAAGUGCGAAUGCUGACAUAAGUAACGAUAAAGCGGGUGAAAAGCCCGCUCGCCGGAAGACCAAGGGUUCCUGUCCAACGUUAAUCGGGGCAGGGUGAGUCGACCCCUAAGGCGAGGCCGAAAGGCGUAGUCGAUGGGAAACAGGUUAAUAUUCCUGUACUUGGUGUUACUGCGAAGGGGGGACGGAGAAGGCUAUGUUGGCCGGGCGACGGUUGUCCCGGUUUAAGCGUGUAGGCUGGUUUUCCAGGCAAAUCCGGAAAAUCAAGGCUGAGGCGUGAUGACGAGGCACUACGGUGCUGAAGCAACAAAUGCCCUGCUUCCAGGAAAAGCCUCUAAGCAUCAGGUAACAUCAAAUCGUACCCCAAACCGACACAGGUGGUCAGGUAGAGAAUACCAAGGCGCUUGAGAGAACUCGGGUGAAGGAACUAGGCAAAAUGGUGCCGUAACUUCGGGAGAAGGCACGCUGAUAUGUAGGUGAAGUCCCUCGCGGAUGGAGCUGAAAUCAGUCGAAGAUACCAGCUGGCUGCAACUGUUUAUUAAAAACACAGCACUGUGCAAACACGAAAGUGGACGUAUACGGUGUGACGCCUGCCCGGUGC